UUAAGAACGCAAAUCAACUCACAGGAGAACAAAUAAACGCAAUAGCCGUUCGAUGCAGAACACAUACGGGUAUUAAAGUGCUCAAGUGGAGUGGGGGAAGUGGAGCGUGAAGGUGACGGCUGCUGCUGCCACAUGCUUGCCGUCGAGAAAAUGUUUAUUUGCUGUUGUUUCUUGUCACUGUACGCUGCUGAAUGCUGAAAUCUCGUAUUUGCUGAUGUGUGUAUUGUCUAAUUCUGGAUUCUCGGCAUAACAUCAAUCCCUAAAGGCAGGUCACAUAAAACAUGACAAAUGUAAAUGGAUCUCUAUUCACCUUUAGGAAUUGGUAGCGUUCUGACGUGAACUUCAGAUCUCACAUUGUU
This is a long non-coding RNA of Anastrepha ludens (Mexican fruit fly), 359 nucleotides long. RefSeq lists it as uncharacterized. The record is from RefSeq and is a predicted model, not a curated record. The transcript is spliced from 4 exons. NCBI's taxonomy places the organism in Eukaryota, Metazoa, Arthropoda, Insecta, Diptera, Tephritidae.